GCAGGGGUUGACUGGGAACCCCACACUGAAACUGGUUUGGAGAAGUGCUGGGGAGUGUUUCCACUCUAUGAUACUGUGAGGGCCAUAGCUUUCCCUUCAGAGGUAUCGCUUAUCUGAGAAACCCACAGGGGAAAAAAAACCCUCCUGAUUCAGGAGAGAARCAAGUUUUGAAAUAAGAGCAUUUUCUGCAAGCUUAAAAUUCCGGAGUUUGACUCAGGUAAGUAGAAAUCGAGCACAACAUGGGUGAG
Molecule: long non-coding RNA, 248 nt
Filed under: Dromaius novaehollandiae (emu)
Lineage: Eukaryota; Metazoa; Chordata; Aves; Casuariiformes; Dromaiidae
Description: lncRNA (ENSDNVG00000016929.1)
Source: RNAcentral